RNAcentral lists this ribosomal RNA (510 nucleotides) under uncultured bacterium. RNAcentral describes it as "bacterial SSU rRNA". It matches the Rfam family "Bacterial small subunit ribosomal RNA", at positions 36 to 518 of the family's 1533-position model. The record is from RNAcentral.
CUGGCGGCGUGCCUAAUACAUGCAAGUCGAACGGUCUUUCUAUGGAAGCUUGCUUCCGCUGAGAAGAUAGUGGCGAACGGGUGAGUAACACGUGGGUAACCUGCCCAUAAGAGGGGGAUAACAUCCGGAAACGGGUGCUAAUACCGCAUAGUUUUCUUGAUCGCAUGAUCGGGAAAGGAAAGACGGCCUUUGUGCUGUCGCUUAUGGAUGGACCCGCGGCGUAUUAGUUAGUUGGUGAGGUAACGGCUCACCAAGACGAUGAUACGUAGCCGACCUGAGAGGGUGAUCGGCCACAUUGGGACUGAGACACGGCCCAAACUCCUACGGGAGGCAGCAGUAGGGAAUCUUCCGCAAUGGACGAAAGUCUGACGGAGCAACGCCGCGUGAGUGAAGAAAAGGUUUUCGGAUCGUAAAACUCUGUUGUCAGAGAAGAACAAGUUGGAGAGUAACUGCUCCAGCCUUGACGGUAUCUGACCAGAAAGCCACGGCUAACUACGUGCCAGCAGCGGC